UAUCCAUUGCCGAGAAAUUCAACUUCUGUUGUUGUAGAUUAACUUCCGUAACGAUUAACUUCCGUAACGAUAUUUCCCCAAAUUUAAAUAAAAUAAAAAAUCCAUGCUGCCGAACAAGGAAUGUUAGUCCUGCCGAAGGUGUAAAUGUAACAAGGAUAUUGUAGAAUGGGAACAUUGAGAGCUUUCUACAUUGAACUUGAAAAUCCCCAAGGAAUUUUCUUUGCUGGACAGAUUAUAAAUGGGAGACUUGUUGUUGAACUGGAUGCAGAGAUGAAUAUGAGAGGAAUAAGCUUGACCUUUCAAGGACUAGCUGAUGUACAUUGGACAGAAACCCAACAAAACUCGUCAGGAGACACAAUAUCCAAAGAUUAUAGUGCAUCUGAGGUGUACUUUGAGCAUUCUCAGCCUGUGUUUGGAG
Molecule: long non-coding RNA, 418 nt
Organism: Saccostrea cuccullata (small rock oyster)
Lineage: Eukaryota; Metazoa; Mollusca; Bivalvia; Ostreida; Ostreidae
Exons: 3
Source: RefSeq, a predicted model, not a curated record